GGUGGGUUUGGUUAGGAAAAGUUACUUUAAGUCCAUUGGAAAAUGGCGCCAUGGAGGGUGAUAGCCCCGUAAAAGUAUCCCUUUUCCUUUUAUCCAUUCCCUCCAAAGAGUCGAGUUGUUUGGGAAUGCAGCUCUAAGUGGGUGGUAAAUUCCAUCUAAAGCUAAAUAUUGGCGAGAGACCGAUAGCGAACAAGUACAGUGAUGGAAAGAUGAAAAGCACUUUGAAAAGAGAGUGAAAAAGUACGUGAAAUUGUUGAAAGGGAAGGGCUUGCAAGCAGACACAACCUCGGUUGGGCCAGCAUCGGAGUGGGGGGAGACAAAAAAGAAAAGGAAUGUAACUCAUUCGAGUAUUAUACCCUUUUUCUCAUAUCUCCACCCCCUUCCAAGGCCUGCGAUUCUUCAAGGAUGCUGGCGUAAUGGUGGCAAGUCGCCCGU
RNAcentral lists this ribosomal RNA (435 nucleotides) under Metschnikowia reukaufii. Its description in RNAcentral is "eukaryotic LSU rRNA". It matches the Rfam family "Eukaryotic large subunit ribosomal RNA", at positions 151 to 652 of the family's 3401-position model. The record is from RNAcentral. Lineage: Eukaryota; Fungi; Ascomycota; Pichiomycetes; Serinales; Metschnikowiaceae.